CCGCCCUCCUCGGCCUCCCAAAGUGCUGGGAUUACAAGCUCGCCUGAGGGGAACAUUCAGAGAGACUUAUCGGCAGGACGUGUACAAAGAGGACAGAAGAGCAGAUGCAGCCUCCAAGAAUGAGCUGCUGAGGACGAGAGGGAUGCAGCCAAUGACCUGAAAGAGCGUGAGCCAACGUCUGUCCAAGCUCUGGUCCUGCUUCGUGCCUGCCCUGUGAUACUGGGCAAGUUGCUCAUCCCUGGACUUCUUUCUCCUCCAUAAAACACGGCUUUGGGAGCAACUUGCUCUCCAAGGGCCAUUCCAACUCUAACAUUAUAAUUUUAUCAUAUGGGAUUUGGCAUAAUUGGUUAUCUCUGAACACUUACACUUUUUUUUUUUUUUUGAGAUGGAUUCUUGCUCUGUUGCCCA
Molecule: long non-coding RNA, 408 nt
Organism: Homo sapiens (human)
Lineage: Eukaryota; Metazoa; Chordata; Mammalia; Primates; Hominidae
Exons: 3
Source: RefSeq, a predicted model, not a curated record